GAAGCAGUCACCUCAGUGUCUGGGGCUCCUGAGUACAUCAGCUUUCCAGCUGUGCUUUCCAGGCACUCAACAUCUCCUUCUGAGUUCUGAGACACUAUGGCAGUUUUUGCUUAUAUUCAAGAUGCUGACGCAGUGCCAGGAAGCUUAAGUUCACGAGAGCAAAAGUGUGCGCUGGAGCUGUAACAAGGAUGGUAGUAGUGAGUAGCAGAUUUCCUCGAGACCUUGUGCCAGGCUGGGGAUGUGGCUAUGCAGAUCCCAUGGAUUUAGAGACAAAUCUGAGAAGACAUUGCUUUAAUUCCUCUCAGGUGUGUAAUGUGGAGUUCCCAGCGUGUGCCCACAGAUGCACAGACAAGCUGACUGAAGGAGAAGGUCCACUCGGAAACUGAAGGGGUUAAACAGUAAGGUUUAUGCAGCUGUGCCUAAAGGUGAGUCAGGUGGGAGCUGAUAGCAGUAAAGGAGAAUAAAUGGGCUUGACUGAUAAAUUGCUUCCUGAUA
RNAcentral lists this long non-coding RNA (495 nucleotides) under Anser brachyrhynchus (Pink-footed goose). RNAcentral describes it as "lncRNA (ENSABRG00000016451.1)". Lineage: Eukaryota; Metazoa; Chordata; Aves; Anseriformes; Anatidae. The record is from RNAcentral.